Molecule: ribosomal RNA, 798 nt
Filed under: uncultured bacterium
Lineage: Bacteria
Description: bacterial SSU rRNA
Rfam family: Bacterial small subunit ribosomal RNA
Source: RNAcentral
CGAUGGGCGACGCGCAUGCUCCGGCGAACUCGGUCAAAGCGAGUUUUCAAAGUAGAUCUUCGGAAUAGAAGCUUUGAUUAUCUUAGCGGCGGAUGGGUGAGUAACGCGUGAGAAACCUGCCUUUCACAAAGGGAUAGCCUCGGGAAACUGGGAUUAAUACCUUAUGACACUAAUCUUUCGCAUGGAAGAAUAGUUAAAGCGUAAAGCGGUGAAAGAUGGUCUCGCGUCCCAUUAGUUAGUUGGUGAGGUAAUGGCUCACCAAGACCGCGAUGGGUAGCCGGCCUGAGAGGGUGAACGGCCACACUAGAACUGAGACACGGUCCAGACUCCUACGGGAGGCAGCAGUGGGGAAUAUUGCACAAUGGAGGUAACUCAGAUGCAGCGACGCCGCGUGAACGAUGAAGGCCUUCGGGUCGUAAAGUUCUGUCCUAGGGGACGAUAAUGACGGUACCCUAGGAGGAAGCCCCGGCUAACUACGUGCCAGCAGCCGCGGUAAUACGUAGGGGGCAAGCGUUGUCCGGAUUUAUUGGGCGUAAAGGGUGCGUAGGCGGCCUUUUAAGUCAGAUGUGAAAGACCACGGCUCACCGUGGAAGCAUUUGAAACUGGAAAGGCUUGAGUUAGGAGAGGAAGUGAAUUCCUAGUGUGCGGGAAAUGCGUAGAUAUAAGGAGGAAUACCAGUGGAAAGGGACUUUCUGGAUUAUCUGACGCUGAGGCACAAACGUGGGGAGCGAAAGGAUAAACCCUGGAUCCCCCCAAACAUGAAUGCUAGGGUGGGGGCAACUCGGGCGCACAACCUUA